Molecule: ribosomal RNA, 442 nt
Filed under: uncultured bacterium
Lineage: Bacteria
Description: partial 16S ribosomal RNA
Rfam family: Bacterial small subunit ribosomal RNA
Source: RNAcentral
CCUACGGGAGACAGCAGUGGGGAAUAUUGGGCAAUGGGCGCAAGCCUGACCCAGCAACGCCGCGUGAAGGAAGAAGGCUUUCGGGUUGUAAACUUCUUUGGUCAGGGAAGCGUAGAAGACGGUACCUGACGAAUACGCCACGGCUAACUACGUGCCAGCAGCCGCGGUAAUACGUAGGUGGCAAGCGUUGUCCGGCUUUACUGGGUGUAAAGGGCGUGUAGCCGGGUUGACAAGUCAGAUGUGAAAUCCUGCGGCGUAACCGCAGAACUGCAUUUGAAACUGUUGAUCUUGAGUACUGGAGAGGCAGACGGAAUUCCUAGUGUAGCGGUGAAAGGCGUCGAUAUGAGGAGGAACACCAGUGGCGAAGGCGGUCUGCUGGACAGCAACUGACGGUGAGGCGCGAAAGCGUGGGGAGCAAACAGGAUUAGAUACCCCAGUAGUC